AGCUAAAAUAGGGACUAGCGUUAGCCUUUUAAGCUAAAGACUGGUGACUCCCAACCACCCUCAGCGA
This 67-nucleotide transfer RNA is filed under the name Protonibea diacanthus. RNAcentral's name for it is "tRNA-Lys". Lineage: Eukaryota; Metazoa; Chordata; Actinopteri; Sciaenidae. The record is from RNAcentral.